GACGAACGCUGGCGGCGUGCUUAACACAUGCAAGUCGUGCGGUAAGGCCCUUUCGGGGGUACACGAGCGGCGAACGGGUGAGUAACACGUGAGCAACCUGCCCUUCACUUUGGGAUAACUGCCGGAAACGGUGGCUAAUACCGGAUAUGACUUCCUCACGCAUGUGGGGUGGUGGAAAGCCUUCGGGUGGUGGGGGAUGGGCUCGCGGUCUAUCAGCUUGUUGGUGGGGUGAUGGCCUACCAAGGCUUCGACGGGUAGCCGGCCUGAGAGGGUGACCGGCCACACUGGGCCUGAGACCCGGCUCAGAAUACUCCGAGGGGCAGCAGUGGGGAGUAUUGGACAAUGGGCGAAAGCCUGAUCCAGCAACGCCGCGUGAGGGAUGACGGCCUUCGGGUUGUAAACCUCUUUCGCCUGCGACGAAGCGAGAGUGACGGUAGCAGGUAAAGAAGCACCGGCCAACUACGUG
RNAcentral lists this ribosomal RNA (466 nucleotides) under uncultured bacterium. RNAcentral's name for it is "partial 16S ribosomal RNA". It matches the Rfam family "Bacterial small subunit ribosomal RNA", at positions 28 to 507 of the family's 1533-position model. The record is from RNAcentral.